This 503-nucleotide ribosomal RNA is filed under the name uncultured bacterium. RNAcentral's name for it is "partial 16S ribosomal RNA". It matches the Rfam family "Bacterial small subunit ribosomal RNA", at positions 30 to 523 of the family's 1533-position model. The record is from RNAcentral.
AUUGAACGCUGGCGGCAGGCCUAACACAUGCAAGUCGAGCGGUAGCACAGAGAGCUUGCUCUCGGGUGACGAGCGGCGGACGGGUGAGUAAUGUCUGGGAAACUGCCUGAUGGAGGGGGAUAACUACUGGAAACGGUAGCUAAUACCGCAUAACGUCGCAAGACCAAAGUGGGGGACCUUCGGGCCUCAUGCCAUCAGAUGUGCCCAGAUGGGAUUAGCUGGUAGGUGGGGUAACGGCUCACCUAGGCGACGAUCCCUAGCUGGUCUGAGAGGAUGACCAGCCACACUGGAACUGAGACACGGUCCAGACUCCUACGGGAGGCAGCAGUGGGAAUAUUGCACAAUGGGCGCAAGCCUGAUGCAGCCAUGCCGCGUGUGUGAAGAAGGCCUUCGGGUUGUAAAGCACUUUCAGCGGGGAGGAAGGCAUUAAGGUUAAUAACCUUAGUGAUUGACGUUACCCGCAGAAGAAGCACCGGCUAACUCCGUGCCAGCAGCCGCAGUAA